CCUACGGGUGGCAGCAGUGAGGAAUAUUGGUCAAUGGCCGUGAGCCUGAACCAGCCAAGUCGCGUGAAGGAAGACUGCCCUAUGGGUUGUAAACUUCUUUUAUAAAGGAAUAAAGUUAGCCACGUGUGCAUUUUUGCAUGUACUUUAUGAAUAAGCAUCGGCUAACUCCGUGCCAGCAGCCGCGGUAAUACGGAGGAUCCGAGCGUUAUCCGGAUUUAUUGGGUUUAAAGGGUGCGUAGGUGGGUUGUUAAGUCAGUUGUGAAAGUUUGUGGCUCAACCGUAAAAUUGCCAUUGAAACUGGAAGUCUUGAGUGUAGUUGAGGUAGGCGGAAUGCGUGGUGUAGCGGUGAAAUGCAUAGAUAUCACGAAGAACUCCGAUUGCGAAGGCAGCUUACUAAGCUGCCACUGACAUUGAUGCUCGAAAGCGUGGGUAUCAAACAGGAUUAGAUACCCGAGUAGUC
Molecule: ribosomal RNA, 460 nt
Filed under: uncultured bacterium
Lineage: Bacteria
Description: partial 16S ribosomal RNA
Rfam family: Bacterial small subunit ribosomal RNA
Source: RNAcentral